This 6346-nucleotide long non-coding RNA is filed under the name Homo sapiens (human). RNAcentral describes it as "HSALNT0386123". Lineage: Eukaryota; Metazoa; Chordata; Mammalia; Primates; Hominidae. The record is from RNAcentral.
ACAGACCUUCCUCCUCCUGGAACAUCCAAGGGCACUGGAUCCUCUGUGUCCCUCUGAGAUGGGGUGCCACUCCAGCAAGAGCACCACGGUGGCAGCUGAGUCCCAGAAGCUUGAAGAAGAGCGCGAGGGAAGAGAGCCAGGUCUGGAGACCGGCACCCAGGCAGCAGACUGCAAGGAUGCCCCGCUGAAGGAUGGAACCCCUGAGCCAAAGAGCUGAAAUGCCUCUCUCCAGAGUCGGACCCUCACCUCCUUCCUGGAACUGCCUUUGGCCCCAGAACCAUGAGACAAUCCCCACCCUGAGAAGCUCCGAUCACUGGGAGGAGAGAGAAAGCCUCCAGCUUUGGGAUUCAGGCUUCAGAAGUUUUUAGCAGCCUUUGCUCAUUGGAGAGGUGGGGAGGAUAAGUCUAUAAGGAAUCCUAUUUCCCCAGCUCUCCCACAGAGAGGACAAAAGAAGUCUUCACACGUUGUGGAACUUUCCUGCAACUUCUGGAUGCAGACAAGCCUCAGAGCAGACUGUUCUGGCUCCAGUGAAUAUCGGCUGCCAAGCUGUGAGCAUCCAGGGAUCCCCGUCUGCCUGGCUUUCCUGAAGUCAGAAGGCGCCUUGGUCAUACUGUGUGGGGUGUGUGGAUCUCAGUUUGCUCUCUUUCUUUCUCCUUUUUUCAACAGCUGGCGGAGUAGCCAACACCCCUGACAGCAAUGUGUUGCACUUGGCUCACUCCACACCCUAUGAAUAAUUUUAAUAUUUAACUUGAAAUGUUGUUAAGAAACUAUGGAAAAUAUCAGGAUCCCACUGGGAUCCCGUAAAUUGAAGGCAACAAGGUCUUGGUCCUCCAGUAAGGGGGGCAUGGAGCCCUGGUGGGAAGGAAAGAAGAGAAAUUUGUGUUCCUGAUUCCUUAAUCCCCAAGAAAGGUCCCUCUGCUAACAUUCACAUAUCUCUUCCUAGCCAAAGUCUGUCCAUUUCAACCCUCUAGCAUCUGAGCUAUCUGCAUCCAGCUUUCAAAAAUAUUUCGCUGUUUACUAACAUGUCUGUCAGCCUCUCUUUUCUCCCCCGCAUGUGUUUUGUUUUUAAAUCCACUCAAAAGCGUUUUCAUUUGAAAUCAAAUAGACAUGUUUGCAAAUAAAUGUUGACACAACACAUUUGAAAGACAGAAUUGGGGAUCUGAGAUUAAGAGUAUCAGCAGAGAAGAGUGGGUGUAAUUCUGUGGAACAGGAGUGAGAACAGAGGCGAGGGAGCCGUUGCUUUGUGCCAGGCGCCAUGCUGAGGACUUUCCAUAGACGGUUUAAUGCCACCCAACUACUCCCAUUUUAUAGAUGAGGAAAUGGAGGAAAUAAAGUCACUUGCCUGAGUUUGGGCAGCCAGGAAGGAGCAGAACCCACAGUUGAGCCCCAGCAGUUUGGCUUGGGAAACGCAUGUAGAGUGCUUCUUAAAGCAGAGAGCCUUUCUCAUGAUUAAACUGAAAUACUAGUCCCUUUAUAGCCUGUGCAUAGUGAGGACCAUUUUUCUUUAUUCACUGAGACCUACCUGCCUAUUGAGAAGUAUGUAACCGGUCAGCUUGGAGUUGCCCCACUGCAGGUUGGGUGAUGCAUUGAGGGACUUUUUAUUUUUACUCUGGUGGUGGGGGACGGGGAGGGAGGAAGAGACGGAGAGGGAAAAGAGGAGGGAGGAGAGAGGGCAAGAAGAAAAAGGAGGAGGGGAAACAGAGGAAGAGAGGGAGGAGGGAAAGAAGGAGAGGGAGAGAAAGGGAAGAGGUAGGGAGAUGAAAGAGCGGGGAGAGGCAGAAUGGGAGAGGGAGAGAAGGAGAGGGGAGACGGAGGGAGGAAGGGAGAGAAAGGAGAGGGGUGAGGGAAAAGGGGUAGGGAGGAGGGAGGAAGAGAAAAAUGGGGAGAGGGUGGGCGAGAAGGAAAGGAAGAAAUCGAGGAAGUUGGAGGAAUGAGGGAUGAGGCAGGGAGGGAGAAAGGGAGGGCGAAGCAGUAAGGUGCUGCAAAGGACCCUUCUUUUUGGCCAUAAAAACCUGAGAAACUGAUUGAGAUUCUUUUGAGCAAUAAGGCAACUGCGGUGAGGAAAAAAUAAGGAAGGAGGCACAAAAAGCAAAGCAGUUCAGCCUGAAAUUGACUACAGAGCUUCCCUUUGCUUCAGCAGAGCCUGGAGGAGCAGGAGGGAUGGGGGCCCUGUCAGCUGGCCCAAAGCCCUGCCCUGUCCCAGGGGUGCUAAGCUUGCUGCAGGCCAGGAAACAGGCCUGGGCUUGCAGCUGGGGAUCAGGAAGUUUGGGGCCUCUUUGCACAGCUUACUGGGGAUAGGCCAAGCUCUGGGAACUCCUUUCAAUUUUUUUUUUUUUUAAGACAACUCUGUUUUUCUCCCUCCUCCCUACUAGUGGAAAUUUACCUUGCAAAACAGGACUGUGCAUGGUGAGAGCUGCUUGCAAUGUCCACACUCAGGACUCUAUGGAAAGAGUUCGCAGCUGGUGGUGAGGCUUUGAGGUGGGGCUGCCCUUAUUUCACUAGCUCCUGAGGGGCAGAGCUCACUCAGCUUUUUACCAAAUCAAAGGAAGGAAGCUUUAGGUCCUUCGAAGUUCAGAACCAGGGUGGUUUGUUUUGCUUCCUUUUGGAAUGGAAUAAAAUGCUCAUUUAAUUAAAUUCAAGUUCUCUGAGGGCUUUUAAAAACAGAAUUCUUCAUCUACCUCCAGCUGUGGCAGGCAUGCUGCAAUUUACUAGGAAGUUAAUCUCUAACAGAAAAAAGUACUCAGUUUCCUUUUAAGGACAUUCCCGUUAUCCACUGGAGCCUAGCAUCACUCGUCUGUCUCCCUUUGAGGUUCGAGAAUUUCUAAAGUGCCUGGUAAAAGUGGUUAGGAUUAUGUCUACUGAAAUAUAACUUUAACCUCUGGAAAAACAGGCCUGCAAAGGCCAACUUCCCAAACUGCUGGAAGAGGAGAGGUUUAUUAGUUAACGUAUCUAUCCAUCCAUCAUCCAUCCAUGCCUCCUUCCUUCCUUUCAUCCAGCCAUCUAUCCAUCCAUCUUUCCAUCCAUUAUCCAUCAUCCAUGCAUCCAUCCACCCACCCAUCUGUUCUUCAGUCCUUCCAUCUUUCUUUCCAUCUGUCCAUCCAUCCUUUCAUCCAUUAUCCAUCCAUCCAUCCACCCAUCUGUUCAUCAGUCCUUCCAUCUUUCUUUCCAUCUGUCCAUCCAUCCUUUCAUCCAUUAUCCCUCCAUCCAUCCACCUAUCUGUUCAUCAGUUCUUCCAUCUUUCCAUCCAUCCAUUCAUCUUUCCAUCCAUUCAUCUAUCCAUUUAUUCAUACAUUCAGCUCUUACCCUGGAUUUUUUAGUUACAUGAGGCAAUACAUUUUUUGCUUUUAACCAAUUGAUUCAUUCAACAAAUAUUUGUUGAGUUUCUACUCUAUCACUCAUCAUUCAUUCAUUCCUGUAUUCAUUUAUUAAUUCAGUGUUUACUGGGCAACUACUCUAUGCCAAACUCCUUAGUGUUCAUAAAAUGUUCAUAAAGUGCCAUCUUUGUGGGAGUACCGCCUGGAACAGGGUGGUCCAGGGAGAUCUUUCCAGUCUCGAUGAGACCCAAGAGCUUUCAAGAGUAAGUUGGAAUUAGACAAAGAGGAUGGUUAUUUUGGAAGCGAAUGUAUGACCUGGAGUUGGAUACAAGAACUGCAUGGGGCACAAUGUACAGUGUAAUAGGAGCCUAAGGUGCCCACGGCACAGGGACAGGGAGGUAAACCUUGACAAGUAAAAAAUCAAAUCAGGGGCUGGGCACAGUGGCUUACACCUGUAAUCCCAGCACUUUGGGAGGCCACGGUGGGUGGAUCAUGAGGUCAGGAGAUCAAGACCAUCCUGGCCAACAUGGUGAAACCCCGUCUCUACUAAAAAUACAAAAAAAAAAAUUACCUGGGUGUGGUGGUGCGUGCCUGUAAUCCCAGCUACUUUGGAGGCUGACGCACGAGAAUCGCUUGAAUCUGGGAGGCGGAGGUUGCAGUGAGCCUAGAUUGCACCAUGACCAUGCACUCUAUCCUGGCGACAGAGUGAGACUCCGUACCAAAAAAAAAGGGAUCAAAUCAUGAAGUGCCUUGUAUUUUAUACUGAGAGCUUGAGAGUUUAUCUUGAUGGGCGCAGUGGGGUGUCUUUCGGCAGAAGAAUGAUGCUAGGACGUCAGUGGCUUUUGACUGGUUAGUAUCCUGUUUUUUUAGUAACAAAUCUUAUCUUUUUCCUCAUGGGGAACCCUUUCCUCACUCUCAGUUUACAUGAUUGGGUGGGGCUGAUCCCAUUCUUCAACGUCAGCCUGAGCACUGCAUAGCCCCUGUCAAAGUGAUAGGUUCAAGGGCGGGUGUAGAAACCCAAACUAGUCCACUGAGAGUCUUCUUUGAACUUUUUUUUUUUUUUGAGAUGGAAUCUCUGUCACCCAGGCUGGAGUGCAGUAGCACAAUCUUGGCUCACUGCAACCCCUGCCUCCCAGGUUCAAGCGAUUCUUCUGCCUCAGCCUCCCAAGUAGCUGGAAUUACAGGCACCCACCACCACGCCCAGCUAAUUUUUGUAUUUUUAGUAGAGACGGGGUUUUGCCUUGUUGCCCAGGCUGCUCUUGAAUCCCUGACUUCAGGUGAUCUGCCACCUCGGCCUUCCAAAGUGCUGGGAUUACAGGCGUGAGCCACUGCGCCCAGCCUUCUUUGAACUUUUAAUUGAAGCAAUUAGGAAAGGAAAGUUCACCUUCUUUUAGAAUUAAUAAAAUUGUAGGAUUUGGCCCUGGAAACUCUUAACCACUGAGAAGGGACUGCUUGAGAAUGAAGCCACAGAGCAGAGUGGAGCAGAGUGGAGAGAAGGAGAGACAUCGUCCUGAUCAACUUGUUUGGGCAACUGGAUCCAGCCAUGCCAGAAUAAUUCUUCCCCUAGAAGAUUCACAAGCCAAUAAACUCACUCUUUUUGUUUGUUUGUUUACAGUGGUUUGAAUUUGGUUUCUGUCAUUUUCAGAGAGAUCUGAGUAAAUCAGAUCCACUUAGAUUUGUAUAUUAGGUAGAGCACCCUGGUAACUGUUUAGAGGAUGGAGUUGGGAGGGAUAAAGCUAGAAGCAUGAAUACCAAUUAGAAGGCAACCUAGGAAAAAAAAAGCAUACAAGGAGGGGCAGGUUUAAAGGGAAGAUGAGGGGUUGAGUUUUAGGGGUGUUGAGUUUGAGGUGCCCAUAGGACAAAAUGUAAAUAAUGAUUGCAAACACUUAUAUCACUCUUACCAUGUCUGAGCAUUGUUCCAAAUGCAAUACAUAUAGAACUCAUUUAAUCCUCACCAUCACACUGUGCUCAUUUUAUAGAUUAAAACACAGGGAGUUUUAAUCCAUUCACUGAUCCCAACUUGCUCCUUGGCUGUAAAUUCCCACAUUUCCUUGUUGUAUUCUGAAUUAAGCCCAAUCUCUCUCCCCUACAAUAAAACCCCGUUGUUGUACAGGGGGUGCAGGGGGGGUGUGAUGGUUAAUUUUAUGUGUCAAGACUGGGCGCAGUGGCUCACACCUGUAAUCCCAGCACUUUGGGAGGCCGAGGUGGGCGGAUCACUUGAGGUCUGGAGUUCGAGACCAGCCUGGCCAACAUGGCAAAACCUCGUCUCUACUAAAAAUACAAAAAUUGUCCAGGUGUGGUGGCACGUGCCUGUAAUUCCAGCUACUACUCGGGAGGCUGAGGCAGGAGAAUUGCUUGAAACUGGGAGGCAGAGGUUGCAGUGAGCCUAGGUCACAUCACUGCAUUCCAGCCUAGGUGACAGAGUGAGGCUCUGUCUCAAAAAAAUAAAUAGAUAAAUAAAAUUAUGUGUCAGUUUAACUUGGCUAAGGGAUGCCCAGAUAGCUGGUAAAACAUUAUUUCUGGGUGUGCCUGGGAGCGUGUUUCUGGAAGAGAUUAGCGUUUUAAUCAGUAGACUGUGUCAAGAAGACCCACUGUCGUUAAUCUAAUCUGUUGAAGGUCUGAAUACAGCAACAAGGUAGAGAAUUCUCUCUCUUUUCUUGAGCUGGGACAUCCAUCUUCUCUUGUCCUCAGACGUUGGAGCUCCUGGUUCUGGGAUUUUCAGACUCCAGGACUUAGACCAGUGGCCUCUCUGGUUCUCAUGCCUUCCGCCUCAGACUGAAUUACACCACUGGCUUUCCUGGGUCUCCAGCAUACCAAUGGCAUAACAUGGGACUUCUUGGCCUCCAUAAUAAUGUGAACCAAUUCCCAUAAUAAAUCUCCCCUUAUAUAUCUCGAUAUAUUCUGUUGGUUCUGUUUCUCUGGAGGACCCUGACUAAUAUAGGGGGUUAACUAGUUCUUCCAGCUCUCAAGGACACAGCUGGGGCUUGCACUAGGCAGUUUGCCUUUAGAGGCUGAGACUUGAGGAAUUCAUU